CACACCGCCCGUCAUGGCAUGGGAGUUGGUUCUACCUUAAGACGGUGCGCUAACCCGCAAGGGAGGCAGCCGGCCACGGUAGGAUCAGCGACUGGGCCG
Molecule: ribosomal RNA, 99 nt
Filed under: uncultured bacterium
Lineage: Bacteria
Description: partial 16S ribosomal RNA
Rfam family: Bacterial small subunit ribosomal RNA
Source: RNAcentral